Molecule: long non-coding RNA, 4225 nt
Filed under: Sus scrofa (pig)
Lineage: Eukaryota; Metazoa; Chordata; Mammalia; Artiodactyla; Suidae
Description: lncRNA (ENSSSCG00000056160.1)
Source: RNAcentral
GUGACCUGUUGAGAGGUGAGGAUAAUUGCAACCUCUCUCAAGUCUCAGGGUAUAAUCUUCUCUUAAGUGGCAUUAUCCAGAGUGCCUGUGGCGACAUGGAAACUGAUGGAGACCAUACUGCUCCCAUUGUAGUUGCCAUACCUGCAAAAGAUCAGGUGGCCUUGUGGGUUACCUACAUUUUGGUGAACUCACAUUGGUUCAGUAUAUGGAUCGACAAUACUGAGGACUACUUUAUUACUAGGAAAAUUUCAGUGGACUUUAUUCAUGUUACCCAAAUGCAUAGGAGGUUGAUUUAUAAAUAAGAAUUCAGUUAUUAAUUUUAAAGCUUUAAAUUCUUUUUGGAAUGAUUCAGAAUAUAAAUAAUGGGAGGCAGCGUGGUAACGUGGAGAGAACAGAUGGUCCAGAUUUAGACAAAACUGCUUCUGAGAACCUAGUUUAGCAACAUGACCUUGAACAACAUCUUAACAGCUCUGAGUUGCAAUUUCUUUCCUCCGAGAAAUAGAGAUGAUAUUAUGUCAUAAGGUUAGUUUGGCUCUGGAAUUCUCAGCUCAAAGGCAAAGGGCACUAGUGGGAAGAAACACUGCAGGCUUCUAAGGCUGAUCCCAGCAAUCCCAGCUGGAUGAUUCAACACAUAGUGUCCCCCCAAAAGAAGUGGUCCAGUUGUGGGGUUAGGCUAGAGCAUGACCAGUAAAUCUCAAUCUGGAGGUUGGACCAUAGCAGUUUCGAAGGACCUCUCCAUUGUAGAAAACCCCAGGGCAUAGAAUUGUCACUAUAUUAAAUCAUGGCUCUGAUCAAAUGGCCUUGGUUUCAGGGUCUGGCCCCACUAAUUGAAAAGUAGCAACCUGAUAGAGUAGCCAGGGUGAUUUCAGAUGAAAUUCUGUGCACUAAACCAUCCCCUCUUAGGGAGGGAGAGCCCCUGGUACAUCCCAUCCAAGCUCUAACAUUCCAUCCCAGCUCCUGCUGUGUGGUGGCAACACAGUUGUUAUCUUCCUGCCAUUGGUAUGUCUAACUUAGCACGAUUGUCAAAGAUCAACCCAAGGAGGCAAAGUAGGGUCUAUCAACAUCAGACUAAAAAAGACUGAAUAGCAAUGAGGCUCUAGGGGAGUUUUGGAAGGCACCUCAACCUCACAAAGAACAUCUCUUCCUAGUGCCAAUAAGGUAUCAGUUGGAGCCACCUGUACAUUGAGAUCUAAAUAACAUUAGCCCAGAAUCCUCUGCAAUUUCUUGGCUUAUGGAAAUUGCAUGCGAAGUGAUUCCUUUCUCUACUUUCAAGAGAAUACUUCCUCCUUCUUUCCUUUCUUAUGUCCUCCCUUCUCCAUCUCUCCUUUUCUCUGUCUCUUUCCUUUGGUUCAGCAACAUUUGUUAAGCAUUGUGAUGGCUGAGAUACGAAAUUCAGUCUCUUUAAAUUUUACGAGCACACACACACUCAAAGUGAACAUGAUCAUGAUAUGAUCCUGAUAGAUUUUACAAGUGGUUUUUGUAAAUGAAAGAAAAGGUUCACAUAAUAGCACCGGAGAAAUUAAGUAUAAUGGAUACUUAUCCCAUCCCUGGAGUUAUCAUUACUCCUCUCUUCCUGUUUCCUUCUCUUUUGUUUUCAUUUGUCUUUCCCAUUUCCUUUUGGGCACAAACCCCACAAAUUACUUCUUUUCCCAGGCAAAAUGGCUCUCUUCACAUCAAUUAGAAUGUCCUUUGCUGGGGUUCAUGCCCUCUGGUAAGUUCUCUUCUUUAUUAAAGAAUAUAAGGUAGUUUUUUGAGGAUCAUUUCCCCCCAAGAGAAGUUCAUAUGUGACCAGUAAAGACAGUAAAACAAAUAUGAUCUCUUGUACCGAGCACCCGGGUACUGGUACUAAAAUGAUUCAUAAUCUUUAUUGACUAAUGCUAAAUAAAUACUAAUUUUUAAAAAAGCCAUUUCCCUUCUUUUCAUCAUUCUUGCAAAAGUAUUUUCUAGUCUACUGUAACCUAAUGCAGUCAACUUUCAAACACUAGUCAAGGUUAGUUUUUCUUGUAUUCAUUGCAUUUCAGAAGAAAGGCUUAGCAUAUAGAUUUUAGAAGACAUCUUCUCAAAAGCAAUAUUUUAAAUAAAAUAUCUAUUAAAAUAAGAUAGAAAGAAAUCCACAGCAUAUCUUUCAUUUUGUUCUUUGUUGGGUUCAAUUUCUGAGAAAAACCGUUUAAUCUUCUCCCUUGAUUCUAAGAGUGGUCCUUAGGUAAAGCUGGUGAUUCCCUGUCCCCUGGCAUUAUGGUCAACUUAAUUGUUUUUGCCAGUCUAAGCAUAGUUGACAGGAAUUCAGAAGUGUCACUUAUGAUUUUGUUGUGCAAAAAACAGUGAUUAACCAAAUUUCUGUUGUGACUCUGCUAAAAAUGGUCUGUCUUUGUGCAGUGGGUAAGUUCACUUUUGAUAUGCCUCACAGUGGUGGUGGACAAGUGUAUUUGUUAGAAUACAAGGUACCCCUAUUUGACCACAUUAACAACAAAAAUAUUUUAACAACUGAAUUGUAUUCAAGCAUUGGGAACUAGAGGACAGAAGGGUAAGAGAUAAAUGAACUGGCCAAUAGGUUUAUAAGCAAAAGUAUGUUGUACUUCAAAGUUUAAGCUUAAGACUGAAUUUUUAUAAAGUUCUCUUCUGGUAUAUACCUAGAAAGCUUUUUGGUGAUUUCUAGUAUCUCAAGUAAUUUGCAUAUGUUUUUAUACUAGUAUCCCUUGAAGUUCAGAGACUUUUGUGGAGAAAGUUGAUGCAAUAUCACAAAAGAAAAGAUAAAUAUAAAACUAAAAAUUUCUCAAGAUUGUUCUGGUAAUUUGCUUCUGCCAGUGAACCAGGGCAAAAGCAAUCCUUUCUUGUUCUCACUGUAGUUUGAAUGGUGCAUUCACUGGCCAAAAAAAAAUUGUGAGUCUGUUUUUUUUUUGCUUGUUUUUUAAAGAAUACAGCACAUUAAAUAGAAGAAGUUAUUCAUUACUUGGUGGUACAUUGUUCUCUUGGUGGAUUAAUAUGCGUAAUCAUGCGUACCUUUCUCACUCCAAUUCUAAAACAAUAAAGAAUAUCACUAGUAAUAAAAUAACUUCAAAAUACACAGCUUAAUAUAAACAAUAGUUUCCACAUAUAAAGUAGACCCCCUGCUAUUUAUAGUGAUGAUGGGUCCCCAAAUGUGCUAUGUUGUGGGCUAUUCUCUAGGGGAGAAAUGAGCAAGACCAGAUAAGACUGUGGACUUCGGCAGGAUGGGGGAAACCUGACUGGUAGAACAAGGCUGCUUUCUUCCUUCCUGCCUCUUGAAGAGUGACCAAAAGGCUAAGUCAGUGAGAAAUGGCAGUCUAGAAUCCUUGCCCAUGCAUCAUGACCACAGAUGUUGCAUGGCCCCCAGUGCUGAAGGGAAGAGGUCUUCUCAGGUUCACGUGGAGCCCACCAGGUUCUUAAUAAGGAAGGAUGGUCCAAGCUGAUACUGAGGACUGUGAGAAGAGUUUUGAUAGAGGUAGGCAGGAAGAAGAAAGACCUAAAGGCCUUAGAUCUUCAAGCCAGCUAGCCAAACCCUUGGGGCUGGUGUCUCAGAUCCUGUGGAGAGCUAGAUAGUCACAGAAAACAAAGGAUCUUGAUAGAAGGGCUAUUGGGGUUUAUUCUAUUUAUGGAGUUGUAUAGAUGGGGAAGUCUAGCCUUAUGCCCAUAGAAUAAAAUUCCUUUCUGAAUCCCCAGGAGUAUUACCAGGCCCAUGGUGCUCAUUUAUACUAAGGGCAUGCAUUCCAGUGGCCCAGAGCAUGAGUGGCAGAUAUUAGAGCAGGGAUCUAGGUUCAGGUUGUAGCUACUAGAGAACUAGCACUCUGAUAUAGCUUGUAAGAUGAUUUAAAUUAAUUGCAAAUUCAGUUAUAUACAUCUCAAUGUAAUUUUGAAAAAAUGAAAUAUGAGAGUUAGGCUAGGUUACAAUAUCAUCUUUAUAUGAAUUUUUUGUUCUUACUACUUUCAAUCCUAAAGAAAAGUAAAGAAUGCAUUCUCUUACUGCCAUCCUUGCAUUGGAUUUCUUAAGACCCAAAUGUGUAGCAUGUCAGAUAGGAAGGAAUUUAUUAUUGUAAGCAAUACAACUGCAUUAUCAGCCCGAGAACAAGUAAGAUCAUAUUCUUUUUCAUAGUUACUUUUUAAGAUUUUUAUUUUUCCAAUAUAGUUGAUUUAUAGUCUGUCAAUUUCUACUGUACAGCAAAAUGACCCAGUCACACAUAGAUAUAUACUCUUUUUCUCACAUUAUCCU